UUUUGGGGUGUCCGGGGUUGUUUUUGGGGUGUCUGGGGUGGUUUUGGGGGUUCAGGGAGAAUUUUUGGGGUUCAGAGCUGGUUUUGGGGGUUUAGGUGUGUUUUUGGGGUUCAGGGGUGUUUUUGGGGGUGGCCGGGUUGUUUUUUGGGGUGUCCGGGGAGUAUUUUUGUGGGUCUCCGGGCUGGUUUUUUUGGGGUUCAGGGGUGGUUUUUUGGUGGUUCAGGGGUGUUUUGGGGAGUGUCCGGGGUGUUUUUGGGGGUUCAGGGAGAAUUUUUGGGGGUGUCCGGGCUGUUUUUGGGGGUUCAGGGGUGUUUUUUGGGGUGUUUUUUUGGGGUUCAGGGCUGUUUUUGGGGGUCUCUCACCCGCAGCCGCCCCCCCAGGAUUCGCUGCAGCCGCCGCCGCUCCGCCCGCAGCUGCUCCAACUCCCGGCGCAGGUGGGGCAGGCAGGGACCCCCAGGGACCCCCCGAGCACCGCCGCGGCCUGGGGGGGACCCCAAAAACGGAUUAAGGAACCCCAAAAAUGGAUCAGGGACCCCCAAAAAUGGGUCAGGGACCCCCAAAAAUGGGUCUGGGACCCCCAAAAGUGGGUCUGGGACCCCCACCCAUGUCCCAGGGACCCCCACCCAUGGGUCUGGGACCCCCAAAAAUGGGUCAGGGACCCCCAAAAGUGGGUCUGGGACCCCCACCCGUGGGUCUGGGACCCCCAAAAAUGGGUCUGGGACCCCCACCCGUGGGUCUGGGACCCCCACCCAUGGGUGCCCCCCCCACCCUCUGCCGUUGAUCCUCGAGCAGCUCCAACCGGCGCUGGGCCCCGUCCAUCUGGGGUGGGGGGCACUGAGACCCCCAAAUCCCCCCCCAAAUCCCAUCCCAGACCCCCAAAUCCUGCCCGGACCCCCCAAAAUCCCAUCCCAGACCCCCAAAAUCCUGCCCGGAGCCCCCAAAAUCCUGCCCGGACCCCCAAAUCCCCCCCCAAAAUCACAUCCCAGACCCCCAAAAUCCCAUCGCAGACCCCCAAAAUUCCAUCCCAGACCCCCAAAUCCCCCCAAAAUUCCAUCCCAGACCCCCCCAAAUCCCAUCCAGGACCCACCAAAUCCCAUCCCAGACCCCCCAAAUCCUGCCCGGACCCCCCAAAUCCCAUCCCAGACCCCAAAUCCCAUCCCAGCCCCCCAAAAUUCCAUCCCAGACCCCCAAAAUCCCGUCCCAGACCCCCCAAAUUCCCCCAAACCCCCCAAAUCCCCCCAAUUCCCACCUCCCCCUCCCCGUACCCCCCAGAAUUCCUCAAUGUGGUCCCGGACCCCCCAAAUCUCCGCCCCCCCCCCCAAUUUCCCCCCCGGACCCCCCAAAUUUCCCCUCGCGCGCGCGGACCGCGGUCACGUGACUCCCCCCGCCGUUGCUAUGGCGCCGUUGCCAGGGGGCGUGGCCUCCACUCAGCGCGAAUCAACCAGUCAGAGGCCGGGAAGAGCUCGGGCGCGCAGCCAAUCACAAACAGGGCGCGGUCGCCGCGCCAACAGCCAAUCAGAAGCUGUUAUUUAC
Molecule: long non-coding RNA, 1533 nt
Filed under: Taeniopygia guttata (zebra finch)
Lineage: Eukaryota; Metazoa; Chordata; Aves; Passeriformes; Estrildidae
Description: lncRNA (ENSTGUG00000020232.1)
Source: RNAcentral